This 607-nucleotide unclassified non-coding RNA is filed under the name Hevea brasiliensis (rubber tree). Lineage: Eukaryota; Viridiplantae; Streptophyta; Magnoliopsida; Malpighiales; Euphorbiaceae. The record is from RNAcentral.
CUUUUUCAUGUAUGAUUUUCCUUCCCCCUCCUAAUUUCAUUGUAGUGGAUAAUUAUUUUUGACACAACCUUCUUUUGAUGCAUUAUCCAUUGAUUGAGUUCAAUAUGCCUUUUUAAGAUGCAGAAUUCAAGUGCAGCCAUGGACAUGAGAGUUAUGGGAUUUAUGAGAUUCGUUGCAUGAUCCAAUGACAGGUAUCAAGCAAAAAAAAGUGACUUAGUGAAGAGUUUUUUAGCAAUCAGCAAUAUGUUUUAUGGUAAAUAUUCUUGCCUUGUCUAAGUGACUUUAUCUGGGCAUGACCGGUGGCUACCCCAUUUAAAGGAGAAGAUUUAUGGUAUGUUAGAAGCCCAACAGCAUAACAGAAGUAGUUAAAAUCUUAUGAACUUAAAUCAGUAUUAUUUGCUUUUUUGCACAGUAUUUAUCUACCUGAUUGGAUUUUACUGACAAGACAUGGCCACAGGUCACUAAUUGUCUACAUUGCUGGAGUCUGAUUUUACUGCAUGUUCUUUCACAUGUAUUUCUGGUUCAACCUUCUGUUGACAUUGUGAGAUGCUGUUUUUGAUUGACAAUUAUCACUAAUAAAAAUAGAAAAGUAAAGGUUCUUUUGUUG